This 914-nucleotide ribosomal RNA is filed under the name Escherichia coli. RNAcentral's name for it is "partial 23S ribosomal RNA". It matches the Rfam family "Bacterial large subunit ribosomal RNA", at positions 307 to 1224 of the family's 2925-position model. Lineage: Bacteria; Pseudomonadati; Pseudomonadota; Gammaproteobacteria; Enterobacterales; Enterobacteriaceae. The record is from RNAcentral.
AGCCUGAAUCAGUGUGUGUGUUAGUGGAAGCGUCUGGAAAGGCGCGCGAUACAGGGUGACAGCCCCGUACACAAAAAUGCACAUGCUGUGAGCUCGAUGAGUAGGGCGGGACACGUGGUAUCCUGUCUGAAUAUGGGGGGACCAUCCUCCAAGGCUAAAUACUCCUGACUGACCGAUAGUGAACCAGUACCGUGAGGGAAAGGCGAAAAGAACCCCGGCGAGGGGAGUGAAAAAGAACCUGAAACCGUGUACGUACAAGCAGUGGGAGCACAGAGCAAUCUGUGUGACUGCGUACCUUUUGUAUAAUGGGUCAGCGACUUAUAUUCUGUAGCAAGGUUAACCGAAUAGGGGAGCCGAAGGGAAACCGAGUCUUAACUGGGCGUUAAGUUGCAGGGUAUAGACCCGAAACCCGGUGAUCUAGCCAUGGGCAGGUUGAAGGUUGGGUAACACUAACUGGAGGACCGAACCGACUAAUGUUGAAAAAUUAGCGGAUGACUUGUGGCUGGGGGUGAAAGGCCAAUCAAACCGGGAGAUAGCUGGUUCUCCCCGAAAGCUAUUUAGGUAGCGCCUCGUGAAUUCAUCUCCGGGGGUAGAGCACUGUUUCGGCAAGGGGGUCAUCCCGACUUACCAACCCGAUGCAAACUGCGAAUACCGGAGAAUGUUAUCACGGGAGACACACGGCGGGUGCUAACGUCCGUCGUGAAGAGGGAAACAACCCAGACCGCCAGCUAAGGUCCCAAAGUCAUGGUUAAGUGGGAAACGAUGUGGGAAGGCCCAGACAGCCAGGAUGUUGGCUUAGAAGCAGCCAUCAUUUAAAGAAAGCGUAAUAGCUCACUGGUCGAGUCGGCCUGCGCGGAAGAUGUAACGGGGCUAAACCAUGCACCGAAGCUGCGGCAGCGACGCUUAUGCGUUGU